GUAGGUGGCAAGCGUUGUCCGGAAUUAUUGGGCGUAAAGUGCGCGCAGGCGGUCCUUUAAGUCUGAUGUGAAAGCCCACGGCUCAACCGUGGAGGGUCAUUGGAAACUGGGGGACUUGAGUACAGAAGAGGAAAGCGGAAUUCCAAGUGUAGCGGUGAAAUGCGUAGAGAGUUGGAGGAACACCAGUGGCGAAGGCGGCUUUCUGGUCUGUAACUGACGCUGAGGCGCGAAAGCGUGGGGAGCAAACAGGGAUUAGAUACCCUGGUAGUCCACGCCGUAAACGAUGAGUGCUAAGUGUUAGGGGGUUUCCCGCCCCUUAGUGCUGCAGCUAACGCAUUAAGCACUCCGCCUGGGGAUACGGCCGCAAGGCUG
RNAcentral lists this ribosomal RNA (372 nucleotides) under uncultured organism. RNAcentral describes it as "partial 16S ribosomal RNA". It matches the Rfam family "Bacterial small subunit ribosomal RNA", at positions 527 to 896 of the family's 1533-position model. The record is from RNAcentral.